GAAGAGAUAGCUCAGUGGUUAAGAGCACUGACUGCUCUUCCAGAGGUCCUGAGUUCAAUUCCCAGCAACCAUA
RNAcentral lists this transfer RNA (73 nucleotides) under Mus musculus (house mouse). RNAcentral's name for it is "tRNA-Ser". The record is from RNAcentral. Lineage: Eukaryota; Metazoa; Chordata; Mammalia; Rodentia; Muridae.